RNAcentral lists this ribosomal RNA (687 nucleotides) under Leuconostoc citreum. RNAcentral's name for it is "bacterial SSU rRNA". It matches the Rfam family "Bacterial small subunit ribosomal RNA", at positions 102 to 777 of the family's 1533-position model. The record is from RNAcentral. Lineage: Bacteria; Bacillati; Bacillota; Bacilli; Lactobacillales; Lactobacillaceae.
ACGGGUGAGUAACACGUGGAUAACCUGCCUCAAGGCUGGGGAUAACAUUUGGAAACAGAUGCUAAUACCGAAUAAAACUUAGUAUCGCAUGAUAUAAAGUUAAAAGGCGCUACGGCGUCACCUAGAGAUGGAUCCGCGGUGCAUUAGUUAGUUGGUGGGGUAAAGGCUUACCAAGACGAUGAUGCAUAGCCGAGUUGAGAGACUGAUCGGCCACAUUGGGACUGAGACACGGCCCAAACUCCUACGGGAGGCUGCAGUAGGGAAUCUUCCACAAUGGGCGCAAGCCUGAUGGAGCAACGCCGCGUGUGUGAUGAAGGCUUUCGGGUCGUAAAGCACUGUUGUAUGGGAAGAAAUGCUAAAAUAGGGAAUGAUUUUAGUUUGACGGUACCAUACCAGAAAGGGACGGCUAAAUACGUGCCAGCAGCCGCGGUAAUACGUAUGUCCCGAGCGUUAUCCGGAUUUAUUGGGCGUAAAGCGAGCGCAGACGGUUGAUUAAGUCUGAUGUGAAAGCCCGGAGCUCAACUCCGGAAUGGCAUUGGAAACUGGUUAACUUGAGUGUUGUAGAGGUAAGUGGAACUCCAUGUGUAGCGGUGGAAUGCGUAGAUAUAUGGAAGAACACCAGUGGCGAAGGCGGCUUACUGGACAACAACUGACGUUGAGGCUCGAAAGUGUGGGUAGCAAACAGGA